CCUACGGGAGGCAGCAGUGGGGAAUAUUGGACAAUGGGGGAAACCCUGAUCCAGCGACGCCGCGUGAGUGAAGAAGUAUUUCGGUACGUAAAGCUCUAUCAGCAGGAAAGAAAAUGACGGUACCUGACUAAGAAGCCCCGGCUAACUACGUGCCAGCAGCCGCGGUAAUACGAAGGGGGCAAGCGUUAUCCGGAUUUACUGGGGGUAAGGGGAGCGUAGACGGCGGCGCAAGUCAGGGGUGAAAUGCCGGGGCCCAACCCCGGAACUGCAAUGGAAACUGGGAAGCUGGAGUGCAGGAGAGGUAAGCGGAAUUCCUGGUGUAGCGGUGAAAUGCGUAGAUAUCAGGAAGAACACCGGCGGCGAAGGCGGCUUACUGGACUGUAACUGACAUUGAGGCUCGAAAGUGUGGGGAGCAAACAGGAUUAGAUACCCUAGUAGUC
This 440-nucleotide ribosomal RNA is filed under the name uncultured bacterium. RNAcentral describes it as "partial 16S ribosomal RNA". It matches the Rfam family "Bacterial small subunit ribosomal RNA", at positions 338 to 795 of the family's 1533-position model. The record is from RNAcentral.